UCGAGAAAGAAAACCUGGAAAGCCGACCGGAACCAUGGAGAAGGAGAAACUGGAGGGGCAAAUCUUGCCAUCAGCAUCUUCUGCCAACCCCAACAUCCUUUCACACCCCUCCCUGCCUCCACUCCUCGGAACUUCGGGAUAAGCGGGAGCCCACUGGUUCAGCAAUUCAGCAAACAUCAAAGAGACUCAGGUGUGCCCAGGUUACCUACCCUUGUGCUGUGUUUUAGGCUUGUAAUUAUAAAGGGGAAUCAAUCAAUAGAUAUGGUGAAUUUUUCUUUUUACCAGAUAUUUGCCUGUAAUGUGAAUUUUACUUCAUAUACCCUUUCUAGGUUCAAGUUCCACUUACCUGUUGGCUUUAAAAAAAAAAACAACCCUUAUCUUCUGUUUUAGAAUUGAUACUAAGUAUCUGCUUUAGGAUAAGGGCUGGGGCAGGUGUGGUUAAGUGACAGGGUAACACAGCUAGGAAGUGCCCGAGACUAGAUUUGAACCCUGUCCCCCUGACUCUAGACCUAAUUCUAUUCACUAAGUUACCUAGUUUCUCUGGCUUUUUUUUUUUUUUAGUUUAAGGAAAACUACGAUAAAAGACCUGUUUUGAGAUUUCACUUUGGCAUAGAAAGUUCCUCAAUGUGAGUUACUUAUAUCUAUGAUAAUCGUAGUCCUGGUCCCCAAGCCAAAUAUUAACUCCGAUAAAACAUAUUGUAAGAAACUUUAUUAUACAUCAUAUGUAUAAUAGUAUACAUCAUAGUUUAUUAAAACAAAAAUAUCAAUAAUUGCAUUUUAAUGCACUGUAUAAUAACAAAUUGUUAGACUAAUUCUGUGUAAAUGAUCAUUCAGAUUUUUCUUUCUUGUUGCCAUGUUUAGCUUUCCUAAGAAUUUGCUGUUAUUAUUAUCAUCUUUAAAAUCAACCUUUAAAAGAAUCCUAUAGCUUUUUGUUUCAGUAAAAUAUUCUCAUAUUCGUGACAUUAUAUAGACUGUAAUAUGAGCCUCUUGAUAGGUUGUUCUUAUUUCACUGAUUAAAGAUACUUUCUACUUCUCCUAAACCUUUAAGGGGGAAAAGAGGGUUAAAAAAAACAACAACAAUUUUUGAAGCCAUCAAAGAAAAUUAUGAUCCUGAAAUAACAUUGUUUAUGCUAAUUGAAAUGAACUUAUUUCUUUAUUUUUAAGGUCCACAUUUAAUAGAUCUCCUUUCUUUUUACAAAAUCCUGCUCCCCAGUGAUUAAUAAACUGAGGUGGUUAUAAAAUGCUCUCUUGUUC
This 1254-nucleotide long non-coding RNA is filed under the name Monodelphis domestica (gray short-tailed opossum). RNAcentral describes it as "lncRNA (ENSMODG00000040731.1)". The record is from RNAcentral. Lineage: Eukaryota; Metazoa; Chordata; Mammalia; Didelphimorphia; Didelphidae.